AUUCAACGGCCGCGGUAUCCUAACCGUGCGAAGGUAGCGUAAUCACUUGUUCUUUAAAUGAGGACUAGUAUGAAUGGCACCACGAAGGUUAUACUGUCUCCUUUCCCCAAUCAGUGAAACUAAUUUCCCCGUGAAGAAGCGGGAAUAAAAAUACAAGACGAGAAGACCCUAUGGAGCUUUAAACAAUGCGAUAACUGCUACUAAUCUAUUAAACCCCCCCGGGCCUCUAAAUUAUUUUGGCACUUUGACGCAAGUUUUAGGUUGGGGUGACCGCGGAGCAUAAUAUAACCUCCACGCUGAAAGAAUCUUAUUCUUAGCCAAGAGCUACUACCCUAAGCACCAGCAUACUGUCAUCUAUUGAUCCAAUACAAUUGAACAACGAACCAAGUUACCCUAGGGAUAACAGCGCAAUCCACUUCAAGAGCCCCUAUCGACAAGUGGGUUUACGACCUCGAUGUUGGAUCAGGGUCUCCCAGUGGUGCAGCCGCUACUAAAGGUUCGUUUGUUCAACGAUUAAAACCC
This 522-nucleotide ribosomal RNA is filed under the name Dendrophryniscus brevipollicatus. RNAcentral describes it as "partial 16S ribosomal RNA". It matches the Rfam family "Bacterial large subunit ribosomal RNA", at positions 1922 to 2596 of the family's 2925-position model. Lineage: Eukaryota; Metazoa; Chordata; Amphibia; Anura; Bufonidae. The record is from RNAcentral.